This 275-nucleotide ribosomal RNA is filed under the name uncultured bacterium. RNAcentral's name for it is "partial 16S ribosomal RNA". It matches the Rfam family "Bacterial small subunit ribosomal RNA", at positions 79 to 353 of the family's 1533-position model. The record is from RNAcentral.
CUAAGUUUGAUGGCGACCGGCGCACGGGUGAGUAACACGUAUCCAACCUGCCGAUGACUCGGGGAUAGCCUUUCGAAAGAAAGAUUAAUACCCGAUGGCAUAGUUCUUCCGCAUGGUAGGACUAUUAAAGAAUUUCGGUCAUCGAUGGGGAUGCGUUCCAUUAGGUUGUUGGCGGGGUAACGGCCCACCAAGCCUUCGAUGGAUAGGGGUUCUGAGAGGAAGGUCCCCCACAUUGGAACUGAGACACGGUCCAAACUCCUACGGGAGGCAGCAUG